UAAAUCAUAGAUGUCCCUGACAGUAC
This 26-nucleotide non-coding RNA is filed under the name Rattus norvegicus (Norway rat). Lineage: Eukaryota; Metazoa; Chordata; Mammalia; Rodentia; Muridae. The record is from RNAcentral.